Molecule: ribosomal RNA, 473 nt
Filed under: Bacillus sp. GTB-52
Lineage: Bacteria; Bacillati; Bacillota; Bacilli; Caryophanales; Bacillaceae
Description: bacterial SSU rRNA
Rfam family: Bacterial small subunit ribosomal RNA
Source: RNAcentral
GCUCAGGACGAACGCUGGCGGCGUGCCUAAUACAUGCAAGUCGAGCGAACAGAAGGGAGCUUGCUCCCGGAUGUUAGCGGCGGACGGGUGAGUAACACGUGGGUAACCUGCCUGUAAGACUGGGAUAACUCCGGGAAACCGGAGCUAAUACCGGAUAGUUCCUUGAACCGCAUGGUUCAAGGAUGAAAGACGGUUUCGGCUGUCACUUACAGAUGGACCCGCGGCGCAUUAGCUAGUUGGUGGGGUAAUGGCUCACCAAGGCAACGAUGCGUAGCCGACCUGAGAGGGUGAUCGGCCACACUGGGACUGAGACACGGCCCAGACUCCUACGGGAGGCAGCAGUAGGGAAUCUUCCGCAAUGGACGAAAGUCUGACGGAGCAACGCCGCGUGAGUGAUGAAGGUUUUCGGAUCGUAAAGCUCUGUUGUUAGGGAAGAACAAGUGCGAGAGUAACUGCUCGCACCUGACGGACCA